Long non-coding RNA from Dromaius novaehollandiae (emu), 610 nucleotides. RefSeq lists it as uncharacterized. The transcript has 5 exons. The record is from RefSeq and is a predicted model, not a curated record. Lineage: Eukaryota; Metazoa; Chordata; Aves; Casuariiformes; Dromaiidae.
AAGGACGUUUGAACAGACUGUAUCCAGAGUGAAUACAGAGAAACACGACUCUCCCUUGAAUGUUCUGCUCACUCAGAGGAGUUCACCUGAACACCUUAAUAUUCUGAAGAGUCAUGAGAAAGAUACCAUCUUUUUCCUGCAGAGCUGUGAAAAAGUGUUGACGUGUGUGACGUACUGCGAGGAGCUCAGCUGAGGGAGAGGUUCAGAAGCGGCUCUUCUGGAAGAUGACGGUGGUAUCGCAGGUCUCGUCUCUGCGCUCUGGCAUGGCGUGUCGCUGUUCAGAAGAACAGGGUGUGUCACAGCCUCAGUAACAACUUUCUGUGGAGCGCUCUAAAUCAACUGGAUUUCAAGUCUACUGAGAACAUGAAGUCUUCAUGAAUUUAGGGCUUGCACAAGAUGCAGAUUUGACAGAACCAGAAACCACACUGCUUUCUGAGCCCUGUUUUAUUGGUAUAGAUACAGAGUUAACACAAUAAAGCCGUCACCUUGACUUCUUUGGAGAAAAUCCAGUAACUGAACCACUGAGAAGACUGAGCAUUCUCAGUUCUGUUGGUCUCUCCAUGCUGUCCGCGCCUAAGAAGCUUGCAGGGUGUCCCAGGACACACCUGUA